RNAcentral lists this ribosomal RNA (476 nucleotides) under Dioszegia crocea. RNAcentral's name for it is "eukaryotic LSU rRNA". The stretch from base 135 to 288 matches the Rfam family "5.8S ribosomal RNA". Lineage: Eukaryota; Fungi; Basidiomycota; Tremellomycetes; Tremellales; Bulleribasidiaceae. The record is from RNAcentral.
UCCGUAGGUGAACCUGCGGAAGGAUCAUUAAUAAAUGGCGAAAGCUUUCUAUUAUCCAUAACACCUGUGAACUAUUUGCCUUCGGGCACCAAUCCAAACAUAAUGUAAUGAAUGUAAUCUACUAUAAUAAAUAUAACUUUCAACAACGGAUCUCUUGGCUCUCACAUCGAUGAAGAACGCAGCGAAAUGCGAUAAGUAAUGUGAAUUGCAGAAUUCAGUGAAUCAUCGAAUCUUUGAACGCAGAUUGCGCCCUUUGGUAUUCCGAAGGGCAUGCCUGUUUGAGUGUCUUAUAAACCUCACCUCUAUAGUUUUCUAUAGUUGUGCUUUGGGUGUUGCCGUUUACUCUGGCUCGCCUUAAAUGUCUAAGUGGAAUGCGUAAUAAGUUCUCGCAACCCUCCACUCUAACACACUUUAUAUUCUGACCUCAAAUCAGGUAGGACUACCCGCUGAACUUAAGCAUAUCAAUAAGCGGAGGA